UCCUGGUUAGGUCAGUUGGUAGAGUGCUCCACUGAAAAUGGAGAGAUCCCUGGUUUGAAACCAGGAUCAGGCG
RNAcentral lists this transfer RNA (73 nucleotides) under Ixodes scapularis (black-legged tick). It matches the Rfam family "tRNA". From Rfam's summary of the family: Transfer RNA (tRNA) molecules are approximately 80 nucleotides in length. Their secondary structure includes four short double-helical elements and three loops (D, anti-codon, and T loops). Lineage: Eukaryota; Metazoa; Arthropoda; Arachnida; Ixodida; Ixodidae. The record is from Rfam by way of RNAcentral.